AUUGAACGCUGGCGGCAUGCCUUACACAUGCAAGUCGAACGGCAGCACGGGGCAACCUGGUGGCGAGUGGCGAACGGGUGAGUAAUGCAUCGGAACGUGCCAUUGAGUGGGGGAUAACGUAGCGAAAGUUGCGCUAAUACCGCAUAUUCUGUGAGCAGGAAAGCAGGGGACCGCAAGGCCUUGCGCUCUUUGAGCGGCCGAUGUCUGAUUAGCUUGUUGGUGAGGUAACGGCUCACCAAGGCGACGAUCAGUAGCUGGUCUGAGAGGAUGGUCAGCCACACUGGGACUGAGAUACGGCCCAGACUCCUACGGGAGGCAGCAGUCGAGAGGCUUCGGCAAUGGGGGAAACCCUGACCGAGCGACGCCGCGUGAGCGAUGAAGCCCUUCGGGGUGUAAAGCUCUUUGUGAGGGAAGAACUGCAACGGCCUAAUACGCUGUUGUUUGACGGUACCUUACGAAUAAGCUCCGGCUAACUCCGUGCC
Molecule: ribosomal RNA, 482 nt
Filed under: uncultured bacterium
Lineage: Bacteria
Description: bacterial SSU rRNA
Rfam family: Bacterial small subunit ribosomal RNA
Source: RNAcentral